AUUAAUUUUGGUUUAGGAGUAUAUAAGCAGACGAGACUUCUUAGAGAGACUGGCGCCCAAAAAGACGCACGAGAAGGAGCAAUAACAGGUCUGUGAUGCCCUAAGAUGUCCGGGGCCGCACGCGUGCUACAAUGACGAUAUUAAUGAGCAUGAUUAACUGGUCCGAGAGGAUUGGUAAAACUGUUCAAGCAUCGUCGUGACUGGGAUUGGGGUUUGCAAUUGUCCCCCAUGAACCAGGAAUUCCUAGUAAGCGCAAGUCAUAAGCUUGUGCUGAUUACGUCCCUGCCCUUUGUACACACCGCCCGUCGCUACUACCGAUUGAAUGGUUUAGCAAGGUCAUUGGAUUGAGUCCAGGUGGCUUACGCUGCUUGGUCUUGAGAAGAUGGCCGAACUUGAUCAUUUAGAGGAAGUAAAAGUCGUAACAAGGUUUCCGUAGGUGAACCUGCGGAAGGAUCAUUAUCAAGUUCUAUACCUAUUCUCUGAAUGCGGCAACGUGUUCUUUGAAUGCUUGGGCUGUUAAGUUGGGAAACCGCCCUUCAUGCCCGCUUAUGAUACAGAAGUGGCCUGUACCAUAAUCAUGGUAAACUCUGCUAUGGUUAGAGGUACUACGUCGCACACACCCCUUUGUGUUUUGUCCGGGGUGCUUUACAACCUAUCACUGUAUAAUUUGUAUUAAUUUGGUGGAGAGUUUGAUUCUGCGACUAGUUGUUUCGGGUGACCGAAACGAUGAAAGUAGUUUCUUGCUUGAAGCCCGGUAUUGAAUCUGUCUUACGACUGUAU
This 780-nucleotide ribosomal RNA is filed under the name Kapentagyrus tanganicanus. Its description in RNAcentral is "bacterial SSU rRNA". The stretch from base 1 to 459 matches the Rfam family "Eukaryotic small subunit ribosomal RNA", at positions 1371 to 1831 of the family's 1831-position model. The record is from RNAcentral. Lineage: Eukaryota; Metazoa; Platyhelminthes; Monogenea; Dactylogyridea; Dactylogyridae.